UUAGCGGCGGACGGGUGAGUAACACGUGGGUAACCUGGCCUGUAAGACUGGGAUAACUCCGGGAAACCGGGGCUAAUACCGGAUGCUUGUUUGAACCGCAUGGUUCAAACAUAAAAGGUGGCUUCGGCUACCACUUACAGAUGGACCCGCGGCGCAUUAGCUAGUUGGUGAGGUAACGGCUCACCAAGGCAACGAUGCGUAGCCGACCUGAGAGGGUGAUCGGCCACACUGGGACUGAGACACGGCCCAGACUCCUACGGGAGGCAGCAGUAGGGAAUCUUCUUCAAU
Molecule: ribosomal RNA, 288 nt
Filed under: Bacillus subtilis
Lineage: Bacteria; Bacillati; Bacillota; Bacilli; Caryophanales; Bacillaceae
Description: partial 16S ribosomal RNA
Rfam family: Bacterial small subunit ribosomal RNA
Source: RNAcentral